GGGGAUAUAGCUCAGUUGGUAGAGUGCUUGCCUUUCAUGCACAAGGCCCUGGGUUCAGUCACCAGCACCACAAAAAAAAAAAAGGACUGGAGCUAUAUAGCUCAGCACUCUUGGGUUCAAUCCCCAGUACCCCCA
This 135-nucleotide transfer RNA is filed under the name Marmota monax (woodchuck). RNAcentral describes it as "tRNA.Glu". It matches the Rfam family "tRNA". From Rfam's summary of the family: Transfer RNA (tRNA) molecules are approximately 80 nucleotides in length. Their secondary structure includes four short double-helical elements and three loops (D, anti-codon, and T loops). Further hydrogen bonds mediate the characteristic L-shaped molecular structure. tRNAs have two regions of fundamental functional importance: the anti-codon, which is responsible for specific mRNA codon recognition, and the 3' end, to which the tRNAs corresponding amino acid is attached (by aminoacyl-tRNA synthetases). tRNAs cope with the degeneracy of the genetic code in two manners: having more than one tRNA (with a specific anti-codon) for a particular amino acid; and 'wobble' base-pairing, i.e. permitting non-standard base-pairing at the 3rd anti-codon position. Lineage: Eukaryota; Metazoa; Chordata; Mammalia; Rodentia; Sciuridae. The record is from RNAcentral.